RNAcentral lists this ribosomal RNA (273 nucleotides) under uncultured bacterium. RNAcentral's name for it is "partial 16S ribosomal RNA". It matches the Rfam family "Bacterial small subunit ribosomal RNA", at positions 524 to 796 of the family's 1533-position model. The record is from RNAcentral.
UACGGAGGGUGCAAGCGUUAUCCGGAAUCACUGGGCGUAAAGGGCGCGUAGGCGGUUUGUUAAGUCCGAUGUUAAAGCGUGAGGCUCAACCUCAUCACGGCGUUGGAUACUGGCAAGCUGGACGGUUGGAGAGGAAGGUAGAAUUACCAGUGUAGCGGUGGAAUGCGUAGAUACUGGUAGGAAUACCCAUUGCGAAGGCAGCCUUCUGGACAACACGUGACGCUGAGGCGCGAAAGUGUGGGGAGCAAACCGGAUUAGAAACCCUAGUAGUCC